Molecule: ribosomal RNA, 492 nt
Filed under: uncultured bacterium
Lineage: Bacteria
Description: partial 16S ribosomal RNA
Rfam family: Bacterial small subunit ribosomal RNA
Source: RNAcentral
AGUGAACGCUGGCGGUAGGCCUAACACAUGCAAGUCGAACGGAAGCACAGUAAGAGCUUGCUCUUACGGGUGGCGAGUGGCGGACGGGUGAGGCAUACAUCGGAAUCUACUUUUUCGUGGGGGAUAACGUAGGGCAACUUACGCUAAUACCGCAUACGACCUACGGGUGAAAGCAGGGGAUCUUCGGACCCUGCGCGACUGAAUGAGACGAUGCCGGAUUAGCUAGUUGGCGGGGUAAAGGCUCACCAAGGCGACGAUCCGUAGCUGAUCUGAGAGGAUGAUCAGCCACACUGGAACUGAGACACGGUCCAGACUCCUACGGGAGGCAGCAGUAGGGAAUAUUGCGCAAUGGGCGAAAGCCUGACGCAGCCAUACCGCGUGGGUGAUGAAGGUCUUCGGGUCGUAAAGCCCUGUUGUUAGGAAAGAACAUCUGCAUAUGAAAACCCGGCUGUUCUGACGGUACCUAAACAAUAAGCACCGGCUAACUUCGUG